UACGGGGGGGGCAAGCGUUGUUCGGAAUUACUGGGCGUAAAGGGUGCGUAGGCGGCUCUCUAAGUCGGAUGUGAAAACUCUGGGCUCAACCCAGAGCCUGCAUCCGAAACUGGAGGGCUAGGGUUCUGGAGGGGAAAGCGGAAUUCCUGGUGUAGCGGUGAAAUGCGCAGAUAUCAGGAAGAACACCCGUGGCGAAAGCGGCUCUCUGGAACGGUACUGACGCUGAGACGCGAAAGCGUGGGGAGCGAACAGG
RNAcentral lists this ribosomal RNA (253 nucleotides) under uncultured bacterium. RNAcentral's name for it is "partial 16S ribosomal RNA". It matches the Rfam family "Bacterial small subunit ribosomal RNA", at positions 524 to 776 of the family's 1533-position model. The record is from RNAcentral.